UGGUGGAGUGAUUUGUCUGGUUAAUUCCGUUAACGAACGAGACCUUAGCCUGCUAAAUAGUUGCAGGAAACCUUGGUUUCUGACAACUUCUUAGAGGGACUUCGUGUGAUUAACACGAGGAAGUUUGAGGCAAUAACA
Molecule: ribosomal RNA, 138 nt
Filed under: uncultured eukaryote
Lineage: Eukaryota
Description: partial 18S ribosomal RNA
Rfam family: Eukaryotic small subunit ribosomal RNA
Source: RNAcentral